RNAcentral lists this non-coding RNA (24 nucleotides) under Mus musculus (house mouse). Lineage: Eukaryota; Metazoa; Chordata; Mammalia; Rodentia; Muridae. The record is from RNAcentral.
UAGCUGUGAGAUCUUUACCUAUAG